This 287-nucleotide RNase P RNA is filed under the name SAR86 cluster bacterium SAR86E. RNAcentral describes it as "Bacterial RNase P class A". It matches the Rfam family "Bacterial RNase P class A", at positions 43 to 351 of the family's 367-position model. From Rfam's summary of the family: Ribonuclease P (RNase P) is a ubiquitous endoribonuclease, found in archaea, bacteria and eukarya as well as chloroplasts and mitochondria. Its best characterised activity is the generation of mature 5'-ends of tRNAs by cleaving the 5'-leader elements of precursor-tRNAs. The record is from RNAcentral. Lineage: Bacteria; Pseudomonadati; Pseudomonadota; Gammaproteobacteria.
GAGGAAAGUCCGGACUUCAUAGAGUAAAGUGCCAGGUAAUUCCUGGGAGGUGUGAACCUACGGCAAGUGCAGCAGAAAAUAUACCGCCAAGAAAUUGGUAAGGGUGAAAUGGUAGGGUAAGAGCCUACCGCGCAUUUGGUAACAAAUGCGGCAAUGUAAACCCCACUUUGAAGCAAGACCAAAUAGGAAUCCGUUUAGGUUACUCGCUUAGGAUUCGGGUAGGUUGCUUGAGCAAUAUGGCAACAUAUUGCCUAGAUAGAUGACCAUUUAUUACAGAAUCCGGCUUA